This 445-nucleotide ribosomal RNA is filed under the name uncultured bacterium. RNAcentral's name for it is "partial 16S ribosomal RNA". It matches the Rfam family "Bacterial small subunit ribosomal RNA", at positions 354 to 796 of the family's 1533-position model. The record is from RNAcentral.
GUGAGGAAUAUUGGGCAAUGGGCGCAAGCCUGACCCAGCCAUGCCGCGUGAAGGUAGAAGGCCCUAUGGGUUGUAAACUUCUUUUAUACGGGAAGAAACUUCCGAACGUGUUCGGAAUUGACUGUACCGUAGGAAUAAGCAUCGGCUAACUCCGUACCAGCAGCCGCGGUAAUACGGAGGAUGCAAGUGUUAUCCGGAUUUAUUGGGUUUAAAGGGUGCGUAGGCGGAAUGAUAAGUCAGUGGUGAAAGCCUGCGGCUUAACCGUAGAACUGCCAUUGAUACUGUUGUUCUUGAGUAUAGUUGAGGUGGGCGGAAUGUGUAAUGUAGCGGUGAAAUGCUUAGAUAUUACACAGAACACCGAUUGCGAAGGCAGCUCACUAAGCUGUUACUGACGCUGAGGCACGAAAGCGUGGGGAGCAAACAGGAUUAGAAACCCGUGUAGUCC